Molecule: ribosomal RNA, 2178 nt
Filed under: Triticum aestivum (bread wheat)
Lineage: Eukaryota; Viridiplantae; Streptophyta; Magnoliopsida; Poales; Poaceae
Description: partial small subunit ribosomal RNA
Source: RNAcentral
AUGGGCUCCCGCCGUCGUCGCAGUCUCACCACCUUAGUCCUGGUGCUCCUCUGCCUCUACCAUGCGCCGCGCAUGGCCCUGUCGCUCUCCUUCAACCUCAACUUCUCGGACCCCGGCGUCCCCAACCGCGGCGCGUCCAUCAACUUCGCCGGCCAAGCGUUCCUCAGCUCCUCCACCCUCGAGCUGACGACCAACACAAGCGAUGCACACAUCCAGUACAGUACCAGCCGGGCGUCGUACGUGCACAAAGUGCCGCUGUGGAACAGCGCCACCGGCGAGACGGCUAGCUUCACCACCACCUUCUCCUUCCGGAUCACCCCGGACAGGGACAGCCCGUCCGACGCCGGCGACGGGAUGGCCUUCUUCCUCGGCCAUUUCCCUUCGGUGAUCCCGGCCAAGAGCGAGGGCGGCAGCCUCGGCCUCCUCCCGGCCCUCACCAACGGGACGGGCUACACCCGGAUCGUCGCCGUCGAGUUCGACACGUUCCUCAACCCGCAGAACGCCGACGUGAACGGGAACCACGUCGGCAUCGACGUCAACUCCGUCAACUCCACGGCGUCCACGGACACGACGACCAUCCCGGGCAGGAACCUCACGUCCUCGCACGUUAUGACCGCCACUGUCAAGUACCACAAUGGGUCCAAGUUGCUGGCAGUUGAUCUCCUGAUCGACGACGCCAUGUACCAGGUCAAUGCAACCAUUGACCUGAGAAGGUAUCUGCCGGAGGAGGUUGCCAUCGGCUUCUCGGCGGCGACUGGCUGGGCCGCCGAGCUGCACCAGAUACUGUCAUGGUCAUUCAGUUCCACUCUGCAGCUGGAAUCCCAAUUGGAAUCCAACACGGAAGCGCCUCCGCCGUCUCAACUUCCUCCUCCGACCAGCAACAAGCACAAAAUGUUAGUAGUAACCCUGCUGUCCGUACUAGUUCCGCUGCUAUUUCUGCUGGCAUGCGUGGCCAUGGUAACGCUAUGGCGGCGACACGAGAAAAGAAGAUCAAAAAGAGCAAACGGGGACAGCAGCAGUGACAGCGACGACGAAGAACAUUGUGUGGACAGAGCUGGCCUCGAGAGAGGUGUUGCCGCCGGUGGCCCCAAACGGUACACGUACCACGAGCUCGUCGCUGCAACGAGCAACUUCGCGGAGGAGGAGAAGCUCGGGCGAGGCGGCUUCGGCAGCGUGUACCGAGGUAACCUCACGCUCGCCGUCGCCGGCGGUGACCAAGAGCGUCGCGCGGUGGCGGUAAAGGUGCUGUCGGCAGAGUCGUCGGCGCAGGGGAGGAAGGAGUUCGAGGCAGAGGUGAGGAUCAUCAGCAGGCUGAAGCAUCGCAACCUCGUGCAGCUGCUGGGCUGGUGCGACAGCCGCAAGGGGCUGCUGCUCGUCUACGAGCUGGUCGCCGAGGGCAGCCUUGACAGGCAUCUCUACAGCAAAGACAGGUUCCUGACAUGGCCGCAGAGGUACAAGAUCAUCCUCGGCCUGGGAUCGGCGCUGCGCUACCUCCACGGAGAGUGGGAGCAGAGCGUCGUCCACGGCGACAUCAAGCCGAGCAACAUCAUGCUCGACGCCUCGCACUGCACCAAGCUGGGGGACUUCGGCCUGGCCCGGCUCGUGGACCACGGCGCGGGAUUGCUGCAGACCACCAAGGCCGUGCUCGGCACCGCCGGGUACAUCGACCCGGAGUUCGUCAACACGCGCCGGCCCAGCACCGAGUCCGACGUGUAUAGCUUCGGCGUCGUCCUCCUGGAGAUCGUCUCCGGCCGGCGGCCCGUGGUUGAGACCGCGGAGAUAUCCUUCACGCUGCUCAGGUGGGUGUGGAGCCUGUACGGCAGGGACGCGGUCCUUGACGCGGCGGAUGAGCGGCUGAGGGGCGACGAGGCCGACGAGUGGUGGAUGGAGCGGGUGCUCGUCGUCGGGCUCUGGUGCGCGCACCCGGAGCGGAGCGAGCGGCCGUCUGUCGCGCAGGCCAUGAGUAUCCUUCAGUCCGAGGAGGCGAGGCUGCCGGCGCUCCCCCUGCAUGUGUACAGGACCGUGCCGGAUCUUGCGUCAUCCGGCCGGCACGGGGCGUUCUCCCCCGACGGCACCGAUCGCGUCGGCUCUUCUUUGGUCAACACCGGCGACGCCACUCUUUCUUCCGACUCGUCCCCGAUCGCGUUGCUACGACGUUCCAAGGAUCUAGCUAAUUGA